This 126-nucleotide microRNA precursor is filed under the name Hordeum vulgare. RNAcentral describes it as "microRNA MIR1122". It matches the Rfam family "MIR1120/MIR1122 microRNA precursor family". The record is from RNAcentral. Lineage: Eukaryota; Viridiplantae; Streptophyta; Magnoliopsida; Poales; Poaceae.
AUAUUACUCGCUCCAUCCAGAAUUACUUGUCGCAGAAAUGGAUGUAUCUAGAUGUAUUUUUUGUUUUAGAUACAUUCAUUUCUAUCCAUUUAUACGACGAGUAAUUCGGGACGGAAGGAGUACUAC